UGGUUGGGAAGUCCUYGUGUUGCACCC
This 27-nucleotide ribosomal RNA is filed under the name Coprosma huttoniana. Lineage: Eukaryota; Viridiplantae; Streptophyta; Magnoliopsida; Gentianales; Rubiaceae. The record is from RNAcentral.